GCCAGUGUAGUAUAGUGCCUUGAACAUUGGACUGCGACUCUGGAGACCAGGGUUCGAAUCCCUGCUCAGCCA
Molecule: non-coding RNA, 72 nt
Organism: Phrynosoma platyrhinos (Desert horned lizard)
Lineage: Eukaryota; Metazoa; Chordata; Lepidosauria; Squamata; Phrynosomatidae
Source: the annotation of a GenBank genome assembly